Molecule: ribosomal RNA, 502 nt
Filed under: uncultured bacterium
Lineage: Bacteria
Description: partial 16S ribosomal RNA
Rfam family: Bacterial small subunit ribosomal RNA
Source: RNAcentral
GACGAACGCUGGCGGCGUGCUUAACACAUGCAAGUCGAACGGUGAAGGGGCCUGCUUUUGUGGGCCCUGGAUGAGUGGCGAACGGGUGAGUAACACGUGAGUAACCUGCCCCCUUCUUCUGGAUAACCGCAUGAAAGUGUGGCCAAUACGGGAUAUUCUGGGUCUGUCGCAUGAUGGGUCUGGGAAAGAUUGCGCCUUUGGGUGUUUUUGGUGGGGGAUGGGCUCGCGGCCUAUCAGCUUGUUGGUGGGGUGAUGGCCUACCAAGGCGGUGACGGGUAGCCGGCCUGAGAGGGUGGACGGUCACACUGGGACUGAGACACGGCCCAGACUCCUACGGGAGGCAGCAGUGGGGAAUAUUGCACAAUGGGCGCAAGCCUGAUGCAGCGACGCCGCGUGAGGGAUGGAGGCCUUCGGGUUGUAAACCUCUUUCGCCAGUGAAGCAGGCCUGCUCCUUGUGGGUGGGUUGACGGUAGCUGGAUAAGAAGCGCCGGCUAACUACGUG